Molecule: long non-coding RNA, 1306 nt
Filed under: Homo sapiens (human)
Lineage: Eukaryota; Metazoa; Chordata; Mammalia; Primates; Hominidae
Description: non-protein coding lnc-SGSM2-2:1
Source: RNAcentral
AAUCGGAGAGUUAGCUCUUUGAGGCCGGCUGCCCUUAAAUCCUCUCACUUCACACAUAAGGAAACUGAGGCCGUGACGGCCAAGGACUCGCCUAAGGUCGUUCCGUAUUCCACCUGCUCCUCUCUCCCGAAGCGGGGGCACUCUUCCCUGACCCCAGGGACGACUCUGAAGCCAGUUCUGGAGGAGGGCCCCCAAUUAGAAAAAUGCCAGGGAGGAAUAGCAACCCUGACCACUUAACACACUGUGAUUGGGGCAACAAAAAUCUUCACCUGAGACCCAACUCCGCUGUUCUGCUUCCUCGGUGGAAGCCACACGAACCCCACUGGUACAGCGGCAGCGAUAGACCCCAGGCGGCUGAAAGCUUAUUUGGAGCGUCCCGGAGCAUGUCGAUUGUGCUGUGCCAGUGCAGGGGGAGUACCCCUCAGUUCUGGCCCCAGGCUCCAUUCUUUGCUAACCGGUCCAAGAAGUGGGGGGGCAGUCAGUGCCAGUGGGUUUAGAACUCCUCAGCCGCGGCUUCAACAUCACACACAACCAGAAAGCAAACCUUCAUGAGGCUGAGAGGCAGGCCGCCCUGCCAAUACAUUCCAUCACAUGGCACCCUCGGAGCGUUCCUAUUUUAGGGACUGGUUGGAAGACAGCUAGAAACAUAGAAAGCAGGCAAAAUGUUUGCUGGCUUUACUCCUUUCCUUUGAGGGCAUCGUCAUGCAUCCUAGGGGGGAAAAAUCUGCACAGAUCCUGGAAAUCAAGAACUUCGUGAACCAGAGGAAGGGGGCUGUUUGCCAGUACUAGUCUACAGAGGCCUCUGAUCUUUUCACAUUUAAUGCCCCAGCAUCUAGAGCUGAGCAUGCAGAAGUCGCCACACACACAAAUGUCCAGGUAGGUACCACUGAUUUUGCUUAUGAUGAAGCUGGAGCAAAGGCGGAUUAGAACGGAACAGCCCAGUUCUUCUCCAUGGGAUGAGUGCCCCUUUGCUGGGAGGGCCAGAUCUGUGCUGGCUCCAACAUUGCUUCCUUUAAGGUGUCUGCCACUUGCCACCAGUAUGGUUGGGCCUGGCCCAUUCUGCACAACUAGAGAAAAUGGAAAAUUCAAAGGCAAUAUAAUAUAUAGGCGGCAGUGGAACAGGGACUCUCAACAGUAUACAGACAGUCCCUGACUUGUGAUGGUUUGACACAGGACUUUCCAAGUUUGCAAUGGUUGUAAAAGUGAUAAUCUAGCAUGCGCUCAAUUUAGGAUGGGAUUAUGGCUGGUGAAACCCGUCCUAAGUGGAGCUGCAUCUAUACAUGAUUGUGACCUGAGUUAAUGCUUU